RNAcentral lists this ribosomal RNA (484 nucleotides) under Salmonella enterica subsp. enterica serovar Mississippi. Its description in RNAcentral is "partial 23S ribosomal RNA". It matches the Rfam family "Bacterial large subunit ribosomal RNA", at positions 2151 to 2634 of the family's 2925-position model. The record is from RNAcentral. Lineage: Bacteria; Pseudomonadati; Pseudomonadota; Gammaproteobacteria; Enterobacterales; Enterobacteriaceae.
GAGGCUUUGAGUAUAUGACGCCAGUUGUAUAUGAGCCAUUGUUGAGAUACCACUCUUUCUUAUUUGGGUAGCUAACCAGCUUGAGUUAUCCUCAAGUGGGACAAUGUCUGGUGGGUAGUUUGACUGGGGCGGUCGCCUCCCAAAUAAUAACGGAGGCUUACAAAGGUUGGCUCAGAACGGUUGGAAAUCGUUCGUAGAGUAUAAAGGUAUAAGCCAGCUUAACUGCAAGACAUACAAGUCAAGCAGAGACGAAAGUCGGUCUUAGUGAUCCGGUGGUUCUGUGUGGAAGGGCCAUCGCUCAAAGGAUAAAAGGUACCCCGGGGAUAACAGGCUGAUCUCCCCCAAGAGCUCACAUCGACGGGGAGGUUUGGCACCUCGAUGUCGGCUCAUCGCAUCCUGGGGCUGGAGCAGGUCCCAAGGGUAUGGCUGUUCGCCAUUUAAAGCGGUACGCGAGCUGGGUUCAGAACGUCGUGAGACAGUUCGG